GCCCUAGUAACGGCGAGUGAAGCGGCAACAGCUCAAAUUUGAAAUCUGGCCUUCUUUGGGGGUCCGAGUUGUAAUUUGCAGAGGGCGCUUUGGCGUCGGCAGCGGUCUAAGUUCCUUGGAACAGGACGUCACAGAGGGUGAGAAUCCCGUACGUGGUCGCCUGCCUUCGCCGUGUAAAGCCCCUUCGACGAGUCGAGUUGUUUGGGAAUGCAGCUCUAAAUGGGAGGUAAAUUUCUUCUAAAGCUAAAUACUGGCCAGAGACCGAUAGCGCACAAGUAGAGUGAUCGAAAGAUGAAAAGCACUUUGGAAAGAGAGUCAAACAGCACGUGAAAUUGUUGAAAGGGAAGCGCUUGCCGCCAGACUUGCCCGUGAAGGUUCUCCUCCUCGGGCAGGCCAGCAUCAGUUUGAGCGAUCGGAUAAUGGCCUCUGUCAUGUAUCUUCCUUCGGGAUGACCUUAUAGGGGAGUCGUAGUACGGUCAGCUCGGACUGAGGUCCGCGCAUUUGCUAGGAUGCUGGCGUAAUGGCUGCAAGCGGCCCGUCUUGAAACACGGACCAAGGAGUCUAACAUCUAUGCGAGUGUUUGGGUGUCAAGCCCGAGCGCGCAAUGAAAGUGAACGGAGGUGGGAACCCUCUCUGGGGGUGCACCAUCGACCGAUCCUGAAGUCUUCGGAUGGAUUUGAGUAAGAGCAUGGCUGUUGGGACCCGAAAGAUGGUGAACUAUGCUUGAAUAGGGUGAAGCCAGAGGAAACUCUGGUGGAGGCUCGCAGCGGUUCUGACGUGCAAAUCGAUCGUCAAAUUUGGGCAUA
This 806-nucleotide ribosomal RNA is filed under the name Dictyocheirospora rotunda. Its description in RNAcentral is "partial large subunit ribosomal RNA". It matches the Rfam family "Eukaryotic large subunit ribosomal RNA", at positions 77 to 919 of the family's 3401-position model. The record is from RNAcentral. Lineage: Eukaryota; Fungi; Ascomycota; Dothideomycetes; Pleosporales; Dictyosporiaceae.